Molecule: ribosomal RNA, 432 nt
Filed under: uncultured bacterium
Lineage: Bacteria
Description: partial 16S ribosomal RNA
Rfam family: Bacterial small subunit ribosomal RNA
Source: RNAcentral
AACGAACGCUGGCGGCAUGCCUAACACAUGCAAGUCGAACGAGACCUUCGGGUCUAGUGGCGCACGGGUGCGUAACGCGUGGGAACCUGCCCUUAGGUUCGGAAUAACUCCCCGAAAGGGGUGCUAAUACCGGAUAAUGUCUUCGGACCAAAGAUUUAUCGCCUUUGGAUGGGCCCGCGUUGGAUUAGCUAGUUGGUAGGGUAAAAGCCUACCAAGGCGACGAUCCAUAGCUGGUCUGAGAGGAUGAUCAGCCACACUGGGACUGAGACACGGCCCAGACUCCUACGGGAGGCAGCAGUGGGGAAUAUUGGACAAUGGGCGAAAGCCUGAUCCAGCAAGGCCGCGUGAGUGAUGAAGGCCUUAGGGUUGUAAAGCUCUUUUACCCGGGAUGAUAAUGACAGUACCGGGAGAAUAAGCUCCGACUAACUCCGU